RNAcentral lists this ribosomal RNA (490 nucleotides) under uncultured bacterium. RNAcentral's name for it is "partial 16S ribosomal RNA". It matches the Rfam family "Bacterial small subunit ribosomal RNA", at positions 30 to 507 of the family's 1533-position model. The record is from RNAcentral.
AUUGAACGCUGGCGGCAGGCCUAACACAUGCAAGUCGAACGGUAACAGGAAGAAGCUUGCUUCUUUGCUGACGAGUGGCGGACGGGUGAGUAAUGUCUGGGAAACUGCCUGAUGGAGGGGGAUAACUACUGGAAACGGUAGCUAAUACCGCAUAACGUCGCAAGACCAAAGAGGGGGACCUUCGGGCCUCUUGCCAUCGGAUGUGCCCAGAUGGGAUUAGCUAGUAGGUGGGGUAACGGCUCACCUAGGCGACGAUCCCUAGCUGGUAUGAGAGGAUGACCAGCCACACUGGAACUGAGACACGGUCCAGACUCCUACGGGAGGCAGCAGUGGGGAAUAUUGCACAAUGGGCGCAAGCCUGAUGCAGCCAUGCCGCGUGUAUGAAGAAGGCCUUCGGGUUGUAAAGUACUUUCAGCGGGGAGGAAGGGAGUAAAGUUAAUACCUUUGCUCAUUGACGUUACCCGCAGAAGAAGCACCGGCUAACUCCGUG